Molecule: ribosomal RNA, 253 nt
Filed under: uncultured bacterium
Lineage: Bacteria
Description: partial 16S ribosomal RNA
Rfam family: Bacterial small subunit ribosomal RNA
Source: RNAcentral
UACGUAGGGUGCAAGCGUUACUCGGAAUUACUGGGCGUAAAGCGUGCGCAGGCGGCUUUGCAAGACAGAUGUGAAAUUCCCGGGCUUAACCUGGGGGCUGCAUUUGAUACGUGUUGUCUUGAGUUCGGAAGAGGGUCGUGGAAUUCCCAGUGUAGAGGUGAAAUUCGUAGAUAUUGGGAAGAACACCGGUGGCGAAGGCGGCGACCUGGUCCGACACUGACGCUGAGGAGCGAAAGCGUGGGGAGCGAACAGG